GCUGGGCGUGGUGGCGCACGCCUGCAAUCCCAGGGGCUUGGGAGGCUGAGGCAGGAGGAUCGUGAGUUCAAAGCCAGCCUCAGCAACAGUGACGCACUAAGCAACUCAGUGAGACCCUGGCUCUA
Molecule: small RNA, 125 nt
Filed under: Marmota monax (woodchuck)
Lineage: Eukaryota; Metazoa; Chordata; Mammalia; Rodentia; Sciuridae
Source: RNAcentral